GAUGAACGCUGGCGGCGUGCCUAAUACAUGCAAGUCGAGCGAACAGAUGAGGAGCUUGCUCCUCUGACUUUAUCGGCGGACGGGUGAGUAACACGUGGAUAACCUACCUAUAAGACUGGGAUAACUUCGGGAAACCGGAGCUAAUACCGGAUAAUAUAUUGAACCGCAUGGUUCAAUAGUUAAAGACGGUUUUGCUGUCACUUAUAGAUUGAUCCGCGCCGCAUUAGCUAGUUGGUAAGGUAACGGCUUACCAAGGCAACGAUGCGUAGCCGACCUGAGAGGGUGAUCGGCCACACGGGAACUGAGACACGGUCCAGACUCCUACGGGAGGAAGCAGUAGGGAAUCUUACGCAAAGGGCGAAAGCCUGACGGAGCAACGCCGCGUGAGUGAUGAAGGUCUUCGGAUCGUAAAACUCUGUUAUUAGGGAAGAACAAAUGUGUAAGUAACUAUGCACGUCUUGACGGUACCUAAUCAGAAAGCCACGGCUAACUACGUG
Molecule: ribosomal RNA, 497 nt
Filed under: uncultured bacterium
Lineage: Bacteria
Description: partial 16S ribosomal RNA
Rfam family: Bacterial small subunit ribosomal RNA
Source: RNAcentral